Long non-coding RNA from Ictalurus punctatus (channel catfish), 818 nucleotides. RefSeq lists it as uncharacterized. NCBI's taxonomy places the organism in Eukaryota, Metazoa, Chordata, Actinopteri, Siluriformes, Ictaluridae. The transcript has 2 exons. The record is from RefSeq and is a predicted model, not a curated record.
UCCCCCUCAGCACUUACUAUAAAACAGCGGUGCUACAGAGGCGCAGACCACAUGCCGAUUCUCUCUCUCUCUCUCUCUCUCUCUCUCUCUCAGUGUUCCCUAGUUUAUAACUUAUAACCUUGGUACCCAAAGUUUCCCCCUUUUUAAUGUAACUUAGUUCAAUUUAAUUUUGUGCCAGAUCAACAAAAAAUCCUCCAGUAUGUUUAUCCCUGAAAAGAAAAUGAAACGGAACACACGCACGCUGCUUGUAUAAUAGAAAACAGUUGACCUGUGUUAAAUGACUCAAUGUUUUUAAGUCUGUUUUUACAUCUGUUACGCUUCCGCCGGUGGGUGGCGCUGUGUCGUCGAAGCGCAAAGACUGCUGCAGAGCGCGCGUGCACGAGACCCUGACAUAUGGACACGCGCGGCUCGUUUGUUUUGACUUACUUCCCGUCCAGUGGAGUGAUGAGAAGAAAUCCUCAGAGACUGCUACAGUGUCCUCCCAGGAAUCCAGGGCUAAUCAUAGGCUGAAGUGUUUCAGAGACAUUCUGGACAUUUUUUCUGUUUCUGAAAGCAGGACCUCGCACUCGCCGCGCAGUACUGGCCAUUAUCUUCUAUGGAAAGUAGCUAAGGGUUGUCCAAAAUGUCGCUAGAUAUGUCGCUAGAUGCUUUAAAAAAAAAAAAAAAAGUUGCUAAAGGGGUCUGAGAAGUGGACCGAAGCUGUCCCUGUUAAAAUGAAUGAGUGAACAGCAGGAGGAGGAGGGGCUGCAGCGGGGAGUCAUAUUUUGAGUGAAAGGAUUGUAUUCGUGUUCUUUUGAAAAUAAACCCUUUAAAGUGAU